This 253-nucleotide ribosomal RNA is filed under the name uncultured bacterium. RNAcentral describes it as "partial 16S ribosomal RNA". It matches the Rfam family "Bacterial small subunit ribosomal RNA", at positions 524 to 776 of the family's 1533-position model. The record is from RNAcentral.
UACGAAGGGGGCGAGCGUUGCUCGGAAUUACUGGGCGUAAAGGGCUCGUAGGCGGCCAACUAAGUCGGACGUGAAAUCCCUCAGCUUAACUGGGGAACUGCGUCCGAUACUGGAUGGCUUGGAUUUGGGAGAGGGAUGCGGAAUUCCAGGUGUAGCGGUGAAAUGCGUAGAUAUCUGGAGGAACACCGGUGGCGAAGGCGGCAUCCUGGACCAAUAUUGACGCUGAGGAGCGAAAGCCAGGGGAGCAAACGGG